CAAGUUUGAUCCUGGCUCAGGAUGAACGCUAGCGACAGGCUUAACACAUGCAAGUCGAGGGGCAGCAUGAUUUGUAGCAAUACAGAUUGAUGGCGACCGGCGCACGGGUGAGUAACGCGUAUGCAACUUACCUAUCAGAGGGGGAUAGCCCGGCGAAAGUCGGAUUAAUACCCCAUAAAACAGGGGUCCCGCAUGGGGAAUAUUUGUUAAAGAUUCAUCGCUGAUAGAUAGGCAUGCGUUCCA
RNAcentral lists this ribosomal RNA (243 nucleotides) under uncultured bacterium. RNAcentral describes it as "partial 16S ribosomal RNA". It matches the Rfam family "Bacterial small subunit ribosomal RNA", at positions 9 to 240 of the family's 1533-position model. The record is from RNAcentral.